Molecule: ribosomal RNA, 731 nt
Filed under: Salmonella enterica
Lineage: Bacteria; Pseudomonadati; Pseudomonadota; Gammaproteobacteria; Enterobacterales; Enterobacteriaceae
Also listed under: 1 other name
Description: partial 23S ribosomal RNA
Rfam family: Bacterial large subunit ribosomal RNA
Source: RNAcentral
GCGGCAAGACGGAAAGACCCCGUGAACCUUUACUAUAGCUUGACACUGAACAUUGAGCCUUGAUGUGUAGGAUAGGUGGGAGGCUUUGAAGUGUGGACGCCAGUCUGCAUGGAGCCGACCUUGAAAUACCACCCUUUAAUGUUUGAUGUUCUAACGUGGACCCGUUACCCGGGUUGCGGACAGUGUCUGGUGGGUAGUUUGACUGGGGCGGUCUCCUCCUAAAGAGUAACGGAGGAGCACGAAGGUUGGCUAAUCCUGGUCGGACAUCAGGAGGUUAGUGCAAUGGCAUAAGCCAGCUUGACUGCGAGCGUGACGGCGCGAGCAGGUGCGAAAGCAGGUCAUAGUGAUCCGGUGGUUCUGAAUGGAAGGGCCAUCGCUCAACGGAUAAAAGGUACUCCGGGGAUAACAGGCUGAUACCGCCCAAGAGUUCAUAUCGACGGCGGUGUUUGGCACCUCGAUGUCGGCUCAUCACAUCCUGGGGCUGAAGUAGGUCCCAAGGGUAUGGCUGUUCGCCAUUUAAAGUGGUACGCGAGCUGGGUUUAGAACGUCGUGAGACAGUUCGGUCCCUAUCUGCCGUGGGCGCUGGAGAACUGAGGGGGGCUGCUCCUAGUACGAGAGGACCGGAGUGGACGCAUCACUGGUGUUCGGGUUGUCAUGCCAAUGGCACUGCCCGGUAGCUAAAUGCGGAAGAGAUAAGUGCUGAAAGCAUCUAAGCACGAAACUUGCCCCGA